GACGAACGCUGGCGGCGUGCUUAACACAUGCAAGUCGAACGGAAAGGCCCUGCUUGCGUGGGAUGCGCGAGUGGCGAACGGGUGUGUAACGCGUGAGUAAUCUGCUCUUCACUUUGGGAUAACUUCAGGAAACUGUGGCUAAUACCGGAUAGGAGCUCCUGCGGGAGGGGGGUGGUAGGAAAUUUUGGGCGUUUGGGGUUGGACUCCCGACUUAUCAGCUGGUUGGUGGGGUAGUGGCUUACCAAGGCUUGGACGGGUAGCCGGCCUGAGAGGGUGACCGGCCACAUUGGGCCUGGGAUACGGCCCAGACUCCUCCGGGGGGAAGCAGUGGGGAAUAUUGCACAAUGGGCGGAGGCCGGAUGCAGCAACGCGGCUGGCGGGAUGCCGGCCUUCGGGUUGUAACUCGCUUCCGUCUGUGACGAAGCGUGAGUGACGGUAAUGGGUUAAGAAGCACCGGCUAACUACGUG
This 468-nucleotide ribosomal RNA is filed under the name uncultured bacterium. Its description in RNAcentral is "partial 16S ribosomal RNA". It matches the Rfam family "Bacterial small subunit ribosomal RNA", at positions 28 to 507 of the family's 1533-position model. The record is from RNAcentral.